GGUGAUCAUUGCUCUCCUUUAUUAAAUGUUAUCUUCUUCUCUUUCUCUUUUCAUUUUUUCUAUUUCCCAGUACUUCCAAGGAGGUAUUGCCUCCUCUUUACAGAAGAGGAAACUGCCAUUUUGAGGACCCAGAGAGCUUAUGCAGGUGCUGGGUUCUGGAUUCGGCACCCGGCCUGACUGCAUGGCCACCCUGCCUUCGGUAGGCUUCAAGCCCAGCGCAGAGCCCAGUGCGUGGCUUGAACUCACGACCCUGAGAUCAAGACCUGAGCCGAGAUCAAGAGUCAGACGCUUAGCUGACUGAGCCACCCGGGGGGGGGGGGGGGUGCCCGACGGCACCUGUUCUUUUUGACAAAAUCUGCCACGUGCUUGUUCUCCCCCGCCCCUUUCCCCCAUACCCUAUAAUCUCAAGCUAGGAAACCGAACGUCUGGAUGACAUUCUGAAUCAACAUGAAAGAACAUUUUGUGACCAUAAAGGUCAGGUUAGUUACGUCUCUCAAAACCUUAAAGGAAGUCAUCUUGGAUGCGGGUCAGAAAAAUCUCAGCCAGUUACCACAACCUAGCGUCUACGCAGGUCCUCAGUGUGCCGCUCCAGUACCUUUCCACUAUCCCCAGUAUUGCUCGUAAAUCCAUUCUGGUAUAAAACGAGUAUACUUCUACUGAGCUCUCUUUAUCUAAAACGGCAUUCAAUACCCUUAAUAUUUAUUUGAAUCCUUGCUGUGCAACAGCCUCCGCAGUUUACAUAUAUUGUGGUGUUUAAUCCUCACAACAACCCCACGAGGUGGGUAUUUGUAUCCCUUUUAACAGACGGAACUCUGAGAGGUUACGUCGCUUACCCAGGAUCACACAGCUGAUUAGUGAUGGGGCUAGGACUUGAACCUUGGUCUGGCCGUCCUCAAAGCCCGUGGGUUUCGACUUCUGCUAUUUAUCCUCCAGAUGGUUAAGGGCAGACAAAAAUGAAAUUCCCCGAUCUUGAUCACUUCCUGAUUUGCAAAGAUCACAGCACGAAACUGGGAGGUCAGCUGGAAAAUGUUUAACAAGUGGGUCUGGGGGGGGGGGGGGGCGGGGAACAGGAGGAAGCCCCGUGUUGGUUUCUGGGGUGACUCUCUCCAUGAGAAGUUCAACGUGAGGUCACCGAACACGGAGGUGUGAAGAAAUGCACCCAAUUGGUUCUUCUGAGCCUACAUAGGCCUGCAUUUCUACACUGGGAAAGAACCAUCCCUGAGCUUCUCCAUGGUUAGAACAAAGCACAUCCCAAGCCCUAAGUGGGGAAUAAGGCUUAUGUUCCACAGCACGAGGCUCAAGAUGUCUUACACACGAUCAAGUUUACAAUGUGGCCUCCACCUUCCCUUUAACCCUCUCUUCCAAUUCUCUAGGCUCCAGCUACACAGAGGGCUCUGCUGGUUUCUCUCCCCCAUUCUCUCCCUCCCUCCCUCCCUCCCUUCCUCUCCCUUCUGUCUGUCUGUCUGUCUGUCUGGCUCACCUCCUGGGGUUUUCCCUUCCCAGGUUGCUCUUCCCCCUUGUCCCCUAGUCAGUGCCUGUUGCUGCUGCCUGUCUCAGCCCCUAAGUCACUUUCUCAGGGUGCUUUCUUCACUUCCUGACUUUGGUUUCUUCCCAGUCCCCACGUAUGUUUCCUUCGUAGUACUUAAUCACCAUUUCACAGAAAUCACAUUUGUGCCUCGAAUCUCUCUCUUCCUGAGUACAUACAUCCUCAGGACCUGGCACAAGAUAGGUAAGACCCACGCACCUUCAACAUCUGGGGCUCAAACACAAUUCUGCAUGUUCCAAACAACCCAGCUUCCCUCCUGGUUCUUGGCAGGAAGCCACUCACUUAAAUGUUUACUAAGCUGAACUUGACAUUGACUCAUACUUUCAAGGCCUCAGUAUCUCUUUUGAAAGUAUGACUUCACAGUCAUGUUUCUGUCCACAGGUGGGAUUUUAUAAUCAUGCCUCUUCCACAGACUCUGAGAAUAACGUGUAUAAAACCACACUGCUGUACGAGGAUUCCCAGCCUCUCCCUCUCCUGCCUGGGCCAGCAAGGGGCCCAGCGAGACUGGAUCAAUAAACACUGGAAAAGGCAGGAGAGGAGGGAAAAGUGAGAGCCAACUGGGGCUUAGGCGUUUGGAGAAGAAAGGAGCAAGUUUAGGGAACAGAGGCUACGAAGAUGAGACAUAUGAAGGGAGAGGUGGAGAAAAUUGAUUUUGGAACUUUUUGUUCUGUGUUAGGACUGGAAUCCCUUGUGGCAUUUUUUUCCCCCAGUUGCAUGACUUAAUGACUAUAUUAGACACUGUAUGCUUCUUUUUUU
Long non-coding RNA from Leopardus geoffroyi (Geoffroy's cat), 2302 nucleotides. RefSeq lists it as uncharacterized. The record is from RefSeq and is a predicted model, not a curated record. Lineage: Eukaryota; Metazoa; Chordata; Mammalia; Carnivora; Felidae. The transcript has 2 exons.